This 425-nucleotide ribosomal RNA is filed under the name uncultured bacterium. RNAcentral describes it as "partial 16S ribosomal RNA". It matches the Rfam family "Bacterial small subunit ribosomal RNA", at positions 354 to 796 of the family's 1533-position model. The record is from RNAcentral.
GUGGGGAAUAUUGGACAAUGGGCGCAAGCCUGAUCCAGCCAUGCCGCGUGAGUGAUGAAGGCCUUAGGGUUGUAAAGCUCUUUCAGUGGGGACGAUAAUGACGGUACCCACAGAAGAAGCCCCGGCUAACUUCGUGCCAGCAGCCGCGGUAAUACGAAGGGGGCUAGCGUUGUUCGGAUUUACUGGGCGUAAAGCGCACGCAGGCGGAUCGUUAAGUCGGGGGUGAAAUCCUGGAGCUCAACUCUGGAACUGCCCUUAAUACUGCCAAUCUAGAGUCCGGAAGAGGUGAGUGGAACUCCUAGUGUAGAGGUGGAAUUCGUAGAUAUUAGGAAGAACACCAGUGGCGAAGGCGGCUCACUGGUCCGGUACUGACGCUGAGGUGCGAAAGCGUGGGGAGCAAACAGGAUUAGAAACCCUUGUAGUCC